RNAcentral lists this long non-coding RNA (691 nucleotides) under Sinocyclocheilus grahami. Its description in RNAcentral is "lncRNA (ENSSGRG00000015020.1)". Lineage: Eukaryota; Metazoa; Chordata; Actinopteri; Cypriniformes; Cyprinidae. The record is from RNAcentral.
CGAUCGCAAGUAUGAUUGCUUCGAGUAAUAACUAUCUUAAGUGUGGCAUUUUAACCGAAACUAAGGUUACCACGGUCAAUUUUGUAAGAAAACACCUUCUAGCUCUGCGGUUCGAGGGUCGUCCCAUGAGCUGUCGCAGUUUUCCGUCUACCACUGUGUGCGCUCUGCAGGGCGGAAGCUAUGAAAACACCUCUUUCCUUCCCCCCAGCCCCGACACGAAGUCCAGGCCCUCCAGUAUCCCAUCACCCCCUGCGACUAUCCAAGCUGUUACGGCAGGCUGGGCCGCGAGUGCCUGUGCCAGGGCGCGGCAGGACCGGAUCCGACCGGUGGGCGACUGGCUCCUCCUCCUCCUCCAAGCUGCCGUGUGUGCUAAGCGCCUUGCCGUUAGCCGGAAGGAUGCUUCAGUGAGGACAGAUAUCUUGAGACUAAACGAUAGGAAGACAAGACAAGAGAACAGGGCCAGAAGACAACACAUGCUGGAUGCAAAUUCACCUCCACCUGAGCUCUGUAUUAAUGCGCCAAGUUGCAUCAACCCUUUACAACACCGCAAACAACCUGCAGGUAAACUAUGAGCUAGCCUAUACUUUCAGUUUUUUCCAAGAAUUAUCAUUGCCCAUCGUGAUUUAGGCUAUUGUUCCUAAUUUCAUUUUUUAGUGAACAUUUUUGUCUUUCUAUCUUUAUAAAUGUAGUA